GACGCGCGAGGCGAGCGGAACUCUCCCAGGUUAUAGCAUUUUUUUUGUCCCCUAAAUGAAGACCAGAAGCCCCCACGCAAGAUGAAGAGUCCUUACAAUGUUGGGAAAGCAAAGAAAAGGGGUUAUCUCUUGCAGACCCUUCCCCCAUGCUUGGGAGAGACAUUGGGACCAAAUCACCAUUUGCACAAAAGACUAGAAAUUUGUAAUUGUGGAUAACAAUUUGCAAACAGAACUGGGCCUUCUCACCCCUACCCCCUGCUCUGAGAAGGGCAGUAUGAGUAUUUUAACUGGCCGUACAGUGUCUUCCUGUGCAGACCAAAGAAGGCCUCAGGGAGGUGAUGUGUGUCUGCUGCCAACACAGAAACGCUGAACUAAGUUAUAAUGCUCUGAUUGUCUGCAUCCGAAAAAGAAAGAAAACCCUAAAAAAUAAAAACAUCGUCUCCUAGAAGU
RNAcentral lists this long non-coding RNA (450 nucleotides) under Rattus norvegicus (Norway rat). Its description in RNAcentral is "long non-coding RNA NONRATT024604". Lineage: Eukaryota; Metazoa; Chordata; Mammalia; Rodentia; Muridae. The record is from RNAcentral.